UGGGGAAUUUUGGACAAUGGGCGAAAGCCUGAUCCAGCAAUGCCGCGUGUGUGAAGAAGGCCUUCGGGUUGUAAAGCACUUUUGUCCGGAAAGAAAUCCUUGGCUCUAAUACAGUCGGGGGAUGACGGUACCGGAAGAAUAAGCACCGGCUAACUACGUGCCAGCAGCCGCGGUAAUACGUAGGGUGCAAGCGUUAAUCGGAAUUACUGGGCGUAAAGCGUGCGCAGGCGGUUUGCUAAGACCGAUGUGAAAUCCCCGGGCUCAACCUGGGAACUGCAUUGGUGACUGGCAGGCUAGAGUAUGGCAGAGGGGGGUAGAAUUCCACGUGUAGCAGUGAAAUGCGUAGAGAUGUGGAGGAAUACCGAUGGCGAAGGCAGCCCCCUGGGCCAAUACUGACGCUCAUGCACGAAAGCGUGGGGAGCAAACAGGAUUAGAUACCCUGGUAGUCCACACCCUAAACGAUGUCAACUAGUUGUUGGGGAUUCAUUUCCUUAGUAACGUAGCUAACGCGUGAAGUUGACCGCCUGGGGAGUACGGUCGCAAGAUUAAACUCAAAGGAAUUGACGGGGUCAUAGCUG
This 578-nucleotide ribosomal RNA is filed under the name uncultured bacterium. RNAcentral's name for it is "partial 16S ribosomal RNA". It matches the Rfam family "Bacterial small subunit ribosomal RNA", at positions 355 to 932 of the family's 1533-position model. The record is from RNAcentral.